This 468-nucleotide ribosomal RNA is filed under the name uncultured bacterium. RNAcentral's name for it is "partial 16S ribosomal RNA". It matches the Rfam family "Bacterial small subunit ribosomal RNA", at positions 28 to 507 of the family's 1533-position model. The record is from RNAcentral.
GACGAACGCUGGCGGCGUGCUUAACACAUGCAAGUCGAACGGAAAGGCGAUGCUUUUGUGGGGUGCUCGAGAGGCGAACGGGUGAGUAACACGCGAGUAACAUGCCCUUGUAUUUGGGAUAACAUCAGGGAACUGGGGCUAUUAUCGGAUAGGAGCUCCUGAUCCAUGGUGGGGGUUGGAAAGAUUCGGCGGUGGGGGAUGGACUCGCGGCUUAUCAGCUUGUUGGUGGGGUAGUGGCUGACCAAGGCUUUGACGGGUAGCCGGCCUGAGAGGGUGACCGGCCACAUUGGGACUGAGAUACGGCCCAGACUCCUACGGGAGGCAGCAGUGGAGAAUAUUGCACAAUGGGCGGAAGCCUGAUGCAGCAACGCCGCGUGCGGGAUGACGGCCUUCGGGUUGUAAACCGCUUUCGCCUGUGACGAAGCGUGAGUGACGGUAAUGGGUAAAGAAGCACCGGCUAACUACGUG